Molecule: transfer RNA, 76 nt
Filed under: Planotetraspora thailandica
Lineage: Bacteria; Bacillati; Actinomycetota; Actinomycetes; Streptosporangiales; Streptosporangiaceae
Description: tRNA-Met
Source: RNAcentral
AGCCGAUAUCGCUGAGCAGGUGCAGUCGCACUCUCAUGAGGUGCGGCCCGGGGUGUUCGAGGUGAUCAUCGAUGGC